CAAUCCACUGACUAGUGGUCAUUAUAUCAGACACACCAAUCCACUGAAUAGUGGUCAUUAUGUUAGACACACCAAUCCACUGACUAGUGGUCAUUAUAUCAGACACACCAAUCCACUGAAUAGUGGUCAUUAUGUUAGACACACCAAUCCACUGACUAGUGGUCAUUAUAUUAGACACACCAAUCCACUGAAUAGUGGUCAUUUUGUUGGACACACCAAUCCACUGAAUAGUGGUCAUUAUAUUAGACACAUCAAUCCACUGACUAGUGGUCAUUAUAUUAGACACACCAAUCCACUGAAUAGUGGUCAUUAUGUUAGACACACCAAUCAUCUGAAUAGUGGUCAUUAUAUCAGACACACCAAUCCACUGACUAGUGGUCAUUAUGUUAGACACAUCAAUCCACUGAAUAGUGGUCAUUAUAUCAGACACACCAAUCCACUGACUAGUGGUCAUUAUAUUAGACACACCAAUCCACUGACUAGUGGUCAUUAUAUUAGACACACCAAUCCACUGGCUGUCCGGGUCUCUCACAGGGUGUUUCAUAGUUAUGUAUGGAUAUGAAAGAUGACAACAGCAGUUUGACAGUUAAGUAUAUUGUCACACUGUCAGCCCUGAUGAUAGCGAUUGCCAAUAUUCACUACGUGUCAGACAGGCUCUGCAGCAGAGUCAGAUGGUCAGGUGGCCCAGUGGUGGGAGGUGUCCCUACUUCAUGUGAUGUUUGCUUCUAGACUGCUGUCACGGGUUUGAACUGAUUAUGACCCUCAGUGAGUCAUCUGUUGUGCUCAUGGAUGUCACCAGUAAACAGUUACAUCAGGGAGAUCAGGAUGUCACCAGUAAACAGUUACAUCAGCGAGAUCAGGAUAUCAUAGCGUUUGGUGUUGUAUUACCAGCAGAAUGAACCACUGUAUAACGUGUUUAGAGGGGGACAAGUGAUCAAUCUCAGAAGAUGAAGAUGUAUCAUGAUAAACUGCUGAUCUGCAACGACUCCGUGAUAUUUCAUAUUGAUUCUGUUAGACAUGGCAGUUGUUACUUGUUUGGCUGCAGGGUUCAUGUAUGACUAAAAGACACUGAUAAAAUACCCUCAGGUUUCUAGUGUAA
Haliotis rubra (blacklip abalone) is the source of this 1099-nucleotide long non-coding RNA. RefSeq lists it as uncharacterized. The record is from RefSeq and is a predicted model, not a curated record. The transcript has 2 exons. NCBI's taxonomy places the organism in Eukaryota, Metazoa, Mollusca, Gastropoda, Lepetellida, Haliotidae.